GGCCGACUAGCUCAGUUGGUUAGAGCGUCGUGCUAAUACGAUCCGUUGGUAAGGACUCGACUGGUACUUUCGUGCUCUUACCGACGGACUCGAUACGCGAAGGUCUUGGGUUCGAUCCCCACGUUGGCCA
This is a non-coding RNA of Suillus weaverae, 130 nucleotides long. The record is from the annotation of a GenBank genome assembly. NCBI's taxonomy places the organism in Eukaryota, Fungi, Basidiomycota, Agaricomycetes, Boletales, Suillaceae.